This 374-nucleotide ribosomal RNA is filed under the name uncultured bacterium. Its description in RNAcentral is "bacterial SSU rRNA". It matches the Rfam family "Bacterial small subunit ribosomal RNA", at positions 29 to 420 of the family's 1533-position model. The record is from RNAcentral.
AGCGAACGCUAGCGGCGGGCCUAACACAUGCAAGUCGAGCGGAGGGGCAACCCUCAGCGGCGAACGGGUGAGUAACACGUAGGUAAUGUACCCUCUGGUGGGGAAUAACCGUGGGAAACCAUGGCUAAUACCGCAUAUGUCUUUCGAGAUGAAAGCAGCAAUGCGCCAGAGGAGCAGCCUGCGGCCGAUUAUUUAGUCCUAGUUGGUGAGGUAAUGGCUCACCAAGGGUACGAUCGGUAGCUGGUCUGAGAGGAUGAUCAGCCACACUGGAACUGAGACACGGUCCAGACUCCUACGGGAGGCAGCAGUGGGGAAUAUUGCGCAAUGGGCGAAAGCCUGACGCAGCCACGCCGCGUGAGUGAUGAAGGCCUCGG